RNAcentral lists this transfer RNA (85 nucleotides) under Felis catus (domestic cat). It matches the Rfam family "tRNA". From Rfam's summary of the family: Transfer RNA (tRNA) molecules are approximately 80 nucleotides in length. Their secondary structure includes four short double-helical elements and three loops (D, anti-codon, and T loops). RNAcentral also lists the same sequence under 1 other name. Lineage: Eukaryota; Metazoa; Chordata; Mammalia; Carnivora; Felidae. The record is from Rfam by way of RNAcentral.
GCCUGGGUGGCUCAGUCGGUUAAGCAUCUGACUUUGGCUCAGGUCAUAAUCUCACAGUUCGUGAGUUCGAGCCCCACAUCAGGCU